GAUGAACGCUGGCGGCGUGCCUAAUACAUGCAAGUCGAGCGAAGCGGGGACGGGUGAGUCACACGUGGAUAACCUCCUAUAAGACUGGGAUACCUUCGGGAAACCGGAGCUAAACCGGAUACUUAUCGAUGGAUCCCCGGUGCAUUAGCUAGUUGGUAAGGUAACGGCUUACCAAGGCAACGAUGCAUAGCCGACCUGAGAGAGGGUUCGGCCACACUGGAACUGAGGCACGGUCCAGAUUCCGACGGGAGGCGGCAGUAGGGAGUCUUCCGCAAUGGGCGAAGGCCUGACGGAGAAACGCCGCGUGAGGGAUGACGGUCUUCGGAUCGUAAAACUCGGUGAUAAGGGAAGCGGUACCUAAUCAGAAAGCCAGGGCUAACUAGGUGCCAGCAGGCGCGGGAAUAG
RNAcentral lists this ribosomal RNA (405 nucleotides) under uncultured bacterium. RNAcentral's name for it is "partial 16S ribosomal RNA". It matches the Rfam family "Bacterial small subunit ribosomal RNA", at positions 28 to 526 of the family's 1533-position model. The record is from RNAcentral.